UACAGAGGUCCCGAGCGUUGUUCGGAUUCAUUGGGCGUAAAGGGUGCGUAGGCGGCGAGGUAAGUCUGAUGUGAAAUCCCGGGGCUCAACCCCGGAACUGCAUUCGAUACUGCCGUGCUUGAGGACUGGAGAGGAGACUGGAAUUUACGGUGUAGCGGUGAAAUGCGUAGAUAUCGUAAGGAAGACCAGUGGCGAAGGCGGGUCUCUGGACAGUUCCUGACGCUGAGGCACGAAGGUCAGGGGAGCAAACGGG
Molecule: ribosomal RNA, 253 nt
Filed under: uncultured bacterium
Lineage: Bacteria
Description: partial 16S ribosomal RNA
Rfam family: Bacterial small subunit ribosomal RNA
Source: RNAcentral